RNAcentral lists this ribosomal RNA (486 nucleotides) under uncultured bacterium. RNAcentral describes it as "bacterial SSU rRNA". It matches the Rfam family "Bacterial small subunit ribosomal RNA", at positions 28 to 507 of the family's 1533-position model. The record is from RNAcentral.
GAUGAACGCUAGCUACAGGCUUAACACAUGCAAGUCGAGGGGCAGCACUAGGUAGCAAUACUGAGGUGGCGACCGGCGCACGGGUGCGUAACGCGUAUCCAACCUUCCCGUUACUCUUGGAUAGCCUUCCGAAAGGGAGAUUAAUACAAGAUGGUGUUGAAAUUCCGCAUGUUAUUUCAACUAAAGAUUUAUCGGUAACGGAUGGGGAUGCGUUCCAUUAGCUUGUUGGCGGGGUAACGGCCCACCAAGGCGACGAUGCAUAGGGGUUCUGAGAGGAAGGUCCCCCACACUGGUACUGAGACACGGACCAGACUCCUACGGGAGGCAGCAGUGAGGAAUAUUGGUCAAUGGUCGAGAGACUGAACCAGCCAAGUCGCGUGAGGGAAGACUGCCCUAUGGGUUGUAAACCUCUUUAGUCGGGGAGCAAAAAAGCGGACGUGUCCGCCAUUGAGCGUACCCGAAGAAUAAGCAUCGGCUAACUCCGUG